AUUCUUAAAGUGGUUUUUAAGUGUGAUUAUCGGGUUUUCACACUAUUACGUGAGAUGUACCUCCCUCUAAACCUGGUUACCAGCACGUUACCUAUCUGAUG
Molecule: small nucleolar RNA, 101 nt
Organism: Cynocephalus volans (Philippine flying lemur)
Lineage: Eukaryota; Metazoa; Chordata; Mammalia; Dermoptera; Cynocephalidae
Product: small nucleolar RNA U13
Exons: 1
Source: RefSeq, a predicted model, not a curated record